Long non-coding RNA from Amphimedon queenslandica, 643 nucleotides. RefSeq lists it as uncharacterized. Lineage: Eukaryota; Metazoa; Porifera; Demospongiae; Haplosclerida; Niphatidae. The transcript is spliced from 5 exons. The record is from RefSeq and is a predicted model, not a curated record.
AUGAAUGAGAAUGUUGCAGCUGACAAGUUAGAUCAAGAGAAACAUAAAGCUAAGGCUAUUGAUAUAUUCAACACUCAUCAUCCACUCCUCUCUCAGUCUCUCUCUGAUCCUCUCAGUGUAGCUUCAAAGAGAGGGUGUCAUAACAGGACAAGUAUUGGCUAGUGUGGUAUCAGCUAGUCCCUCUGUUCCUAAUCAACGUGAAGUCCUGUUAGCUGGCAUUAUAGUAGCUAUUGAAAGCAAGUAUAGUUUACUACAAACAUUUGCUAGUGUGUUGUGCAAGUUCACUGGUAAUGUAAAACUAGGAACAGUUAUACAAAGAGACUAUGAUGUGCAUUUUCCCUCUAAUAACAAAUUUUGUUAUAUUAAUAUUGAAGAAGAGUCAUCAAGCACUGGAGCAACCAUUGUAUCCACAUCAUCUUGCACUCCAACUGCACCAACAGUUGAAAUUCCUGUCUCAAAGAGUAAAUCAAGAGAAUUCAGUUCAAUGAGAGCUUCUCUUGGAAGGAUGCUGUAUAAAGUACACAAAGCUAUCACACAGAAAUCUCCACCUCUGAUUGACCUAAAGAGUCUCAUUUGCCUUUUUAAUUCUGAUCUAAAAGGAAAGCUAGCUGAGUGCAAUGAUAUAUCGAGUGUAGUGCAUGUG